RNAcentral lists this long non-coding RNA (458 nucleotides) under Elaeis guineensis (African oil palm). RNAcentral's name for it is "long non-coding RNA (EGUI_LNC077361)". Lineage: Eukaryota; Viridiplantae; Streptophyta; Magnoliopsida; Arecales; Arecaceae. The record is from RNAcentral.
GCCCCUCUCUCUCUUCUCCAUGCCAAUCCAUAAGAAGGGGGUGGGCCCCUCUUGUCAUAUCCAAGGAGUUGGCGCCCCCUGAUCUUGCCAAAAAGAGAAGCAGGCAUCUCCUAUAUUUCCAUCUAUUCCACAUGCACUCUUAGAGAUAAUUAGGAGAUAAUGAAAAGAUAAUGUUAUGAUAAUUUAUACCAACUCAUUGACAUCAUCCAAUCCUCUUGAACUCACAAUUAAGAGCCUAAUUAAAGCCAAAUAGAUUUAGGUUAGAUUCAAAACUAUAGACUUGAUCAAAUCAAAAUUUCGAGAAGAACUAAAUUUAAUUAUGUGUUAGUAUGAUUCUCAUAAACCUAAUAGAAUUUCAAUAAAUCCUAACCUAAUUAAAAUUUCAUAAAUCCAAUUGGCAAAUUCGAGAUUAAAUCUCUUAAUGUGUGACCUCAUAAAUUUCAUUCUAUCUGAUAAUG